Schistosoma mattheei is the source of this 45-nucleotide non-coding RNA. NCBI's taxonomy places the organism in Eukaryota, Metazoa, Platyhelminthes, Trematoda, Strigeidida, Schistosomatidae. The record is from Rfam.
AUCCAGCUGGCGAGUCCCAACUGGGGCGGAACGCACGUCCUGGAU